RNAcentral lists this non-coding RNA (119 nucleotides) under Chromera velia. The record is from RNAcentral. Lineage: Eukaryota; Chromeraceae.
AAGCUGUAACGACAAAAAGAGAACGAGUCAACAUGCAGGAGUAUUGCGUUACCAGUGAUCUCUCAGAAGAAUCUUGGCCUCUUUCCAUUUUCCCUGCUCUUCAAAAAGUUGAGGCGGGA